CUUGCACAUACUAGGUAAGAGCUCUACCACUGAAGAUCCAGGAACUUGCACAUACUAGGUAAGAGCUCUACCACUGAGCUAUAUCCUCAGCCCUUUUAAAAUUUGAGACUGAGACUGAUUCUGGUUAAUUUGCCUGACUAGUCUCAAACUUGUGAUCCUCCUGGCUCAGCCUCCAAGUAGUUGGGAUUAUGGGAGUGUACCACCAAAUUCACUGUAACUUGACUUUUUAAUGAUAAACUAAGUAGGAAGUUUCAGGGCAUUUCUUCUCAUGUAUUGCAUAAAAUGGAUGACUGCAAAUUAUGGAUUUUUUUACCCCCCCCCCCCUUUGGCACCAGGGGAUUGAACCCAGGAGUGUUUAACUACUGAGCCACAUCUCCAGCACUUUUUAUAUUUUAUUUUGAAACAGUCUUGCUAAGUUGCUCAGUGCCUUGUUAAGUUGCUGAGGCUGGCUUUGAACUUGUGAUCCUCCUGCCUUGGCCUUGAGAGCUUCUGAGAUUACAGGUGUAUGCCACCCUGCCUGGCUGAUAUUUUGUUCUUAGAGUUAAAAAUCAAGGUUUUGCAAUCUUACCAUCUGCGAUGGAACUACCAUCAUAUUGUGUACAGUGGUGUCCACUCCUAAUGUAAACAUCUGUUAGCAGGCACAGUGCUGAUACUGACUUUUCACGGUGUAUACCCUGAUUCUGUGUAAUGUUUAAUAAAGAAUUUUACCAAUAGCUUGUUAUACUUUCUUUAAGCUAAAUAUUUGUUUUUAACUUGUAGCUAUUUGUACAAAUAUCUCUGUAACAAAAUGACUUCUAC
Molecule: long non-coding RNA, 798 nt
Filed under: Marmota monax (woodchuck)
Lineage: Eukaryota; Metazoa; Chordata; Mammalia; Rodentia; Sciuridae
Source: RNAcentral